This 410-nucleotide long non-coding RNA is filed under the name Aedes aegypti (yellow fever mosquito). Its description in RNAcentral is "lncRNA AAEL023360". The record is from RNAcentral. Lineage: Eukaryota; Metazoa; Arthropoda; Insecta; Diptera; Culicidae.
UCAGUUCGAUCCAGAAGUCUCCAGCCAGAGCAGAAAACCCUACCUGCGAAGCCGAAGUGGUUGUGUGUCCAGCAACCGUGCGCAAGCUGACCAGAGACGCAGUUCGUCCAGUCGAACGCCAACCAGCCUGCGGAGCAGAGCACAAUCAAGCCGACGGCACCGAGGUGGAUUAAUUCGCUAAGGGCCUGGUUUUCAAUCUUUGCCACCCCACCGGUGUCCACCGAUAUUUGGGCGCAUUUCGACUGCAUCGGAUUUGCUCAGCUGUAUUGCAUGUGGAGGGAGAAGUGAUUUUGUGCACGUGUCGACAACCGACUGCCUAAUCGCAGUCGGUUUUAUUGCACGAUUUACGAUCCGACUUCUAAGCGGCUGACCAGAGCAGAGCAUUUUUGGAUGUGGUUGCUGACGGUUCC